Neolamprologus brichardi is the source of this 279-nucleotide non-coding RNA. NCBI's taxonomy places the organism in Eukaryota, Metazoa, Chordata, Actinopteri, Cichliformes, Cichlidae. The record is from RefSeq and is a predicted model, not a curated record.
GCUGAUGUCUGCGCCUUCCUCGCCUCGGACGACUCUCAGUACAUCACCGGAGCCAGCAUCGAAGUGACAGGCGGACUUUUCAUGGGUUAAAUCAGCCGUCCGGCGAGCGCGCGACUGAAGACUGAGACUAGUUUCUACGUAAUUAUUAUUUUUUGACUCUGAUUUUGAUUGUGUGAAUGUUUUUGUAAUUUUGAUGUGAACCUGUCACAUGUUGUCUUAAUAAACACUAGAAUGUAAUGUUGAAUCUGAAUGAAGCUUUAAGAAAGUUUUAACAUGUUU